AGUGACACCCUCAAGCCGGGCCUUCCUGACCUCACAUGACAUGCCUUAGUGAACUGCUGCUUCUCCGUGAAGGAUGAGUCGGGGAGGGGCUCGCAGGCCAGGAGGACAGUGCCUGAGCCCCUGGUCUCUGCCUCCAGUUCUGCAGGAAUUCUCCAAGGAGGAGCGAGACCCAGUGAAAACUCAUGAAGGCUGGGGGGUGAUGUUGCCCUGUAACCCACCUGCCCACUACCCAGGCUUGUCCUACCGCUGGCUCCUCAACGAGUUCCCCAACUUCAUCCCGACGGACGGGCGUCACUUCGUGUCCCAGACCACAGGGAACCUGUACAUUGCCCGAACCAAUGCCUCAGACCUGGGCAACUACUCCUGUUUGGCCACCAGCCACAUGGACUUCUCCACCAAGAGCGUCUUCAGCAAGUUUGCUCAGCUCAACCUGGCUGCUGAAGAUACCCGGCUCUUUGCACCCAGCAUCAAGGCCCGGUUCCCAGCAGAGACCUAUGCACUGGUGGGGCAGCAGGUCACCCUGGAGUGCUUCGCCUUUGGGAAGUGAGUGUGAAGAGGGAGGGGAAGCAGGGCACGGUCUCUCGGGGGCACAGGUGACCCCAGGGUGAGGGCAGGCAGAGUCAGGGCUCUUAUCUUGGUGUCCCUCACAGGGUCUAGCAAAGUACUGGGCACACAGUGGGUAUCGACCACCACUCACUGGACAGUAACUCUCUGGGUGAGGCAUCGCAUAUGCCAGGGGCCUUCCAUGGCCAGGAUCACUUGGUCUUCCAGCAGUGCAUGGCAGGCUCAGACAGCUUGAGUAACACCCAGGGCUGGAGGCAGGCAGCACAGUGUACAGACUCCAACCCUGUCUGUCUCAUUCAGAUCCCAGCUCUGCCACUCGCAGACCUUGGGUAAACUGCCUAACCUCUCUGUGCCUCAGUUUCUUUAUGGUGGUGAUAAUAGUACCUACCUCAUAGGGUUGUCAUGAGGAUUAAAUCAGUUCAUAUAUGUGAGAUACUUAGAACAGUGCCUGGAAUUUAGUUAAGUGUUCCGUGAAUGUUAACAGUGAUCUAUUUGAGAAUAGCAGCAGAAAGUGUUCUCUUUCUCGUACUCCUAGAAGAAGGAUUCUCUAGAACAGGGCUAAGCAAAUAGCAGGUGCUCAAUAAAUGUUUGUAGUAUGAAAGAAAGAAUGUGAUUUGUACUUUGGCCCCCUCCUCCCUCAACUAUCUCCUAUGGUUACCUGGGAGAAUCUCUGCCUUGUGGGAAGUUUUGGGCUUCCAGAAAAUCCACAUGAAAAGCAUGUGGAAGGGGGGCCAGGUGCGGUGGUUCAUGUCUGUAAUCCCAGCACUUUGGGAGGCUGAGGUGGGAAGAUCAUGAGGUCAGGAGAUCGAGACCAUCCUGGCUAGCACGGUGAAAUCCAGUCUCUACUAAAAAUACAAAAAAAACUAGCCAGGUGUGGUGGCAGGUGCCUGUAGUCCCAGCUGCUCGGGAGGCUGAGGCAGGAGAAUGGUGUGAACCCGGGAGGCAGAGCUUGCAGUGAGCCGAGAUUGCCCCACUGCACUCCAG
This 1548-nucleotide small RNA is filed under the name Pan troglodytes (chimpanzee). RNAcentral describes it as "retained intron". Lineage: Eukaryota; Metazoa; Chordata; Mammalia; Primates; Hominidae. The record is from RNAcentral.